RNAcentral lists this long non-coding RNA (1351 nucleotides) under Struthio camelus australis. RNAcentral's name for it is "lncRNA (ENSSCUG00000005705.1)". The record is from RNAcentral. Lineage: Eukaryota; Metazoa; Chordata; Aves; Struthioniformes; Struthionidae.
GGAGGGACCCAGGCGUCCGAGUGGUCCCAGGCGUCCGGGGAGGGGCCCAGGCGUCCGAGUGGUCCCAGGCGUCCGGGGAGGGGCCCAGGUGCCCAGGAAGGGACCCAGGCGUCCGGGAGGGUCGCAGGUAUCCGAGGAGGGUCCCAGUCGUCCGGGAGGGGCCCGAUGUCCGGGAGGGGCCCAGGCGUCCGGGAGGGUGCGGGGGAGGGUCCCCGUGUCAGUAGUGUUUGGCGUUUCCAGUGUUGGGUGGGGGGAGGAGGAGGAGGAAGGUGAGGGUGAAGAGGAGCAUGAGGAAGGCUACGGUGAGGGCGGGGGUGAAGAGGAGGAGGAGGAGGAAGGCGAGGAGAAGAAGAGGGAGGAUGAGAGUGAGAGGGAGGAUGAUGACGGUGAGGACAAGGAUGAGGGAGAGGAUGAGAAGGGCGAGGAAGAGCGCGAGGAGGGCGAUGGUGACAACGAGGAGAGCGAGGAGGAGGAGGAGGGGCAGGAAGGAGAGGACGAUGCGGGUGAAGAUGAUGACAGCGAGGGCGAGGAGGGUGAAGACGAGGAGGGGGAGAAGGAGGAGGAGGGCAAGGAGAGUGAUGAAGAGGAGGGUGACAAGGAGGCGGAGGAGGCAGAGGAAGGUGAGGAGGAGGAGAGCAGCGAGCAAGGCGAGAAUGGCGAGGAGGAAGAGGAGGAGGAAGAGGAAGGCGAGGAGGAGGAGGAAGAGGAAGGCGAGGAGGAGGAGGAAGAGGAAGGCGAGGAGGGCAAGGAGGAGGAAGGCGAGGAGGGCAAGGAGGAGGGUAAGGAGGAGGAAGAGGAGGAGGACGAGGAGGAAGAGGAGUCUGAGUGCAGCAAUAGGCCCCAGUGCCUAUCAGCCUUUAGUGCACUCAGGGAUCUCAGUCUUCCUCGAGAGGGGGGAGGAGGAGGAAGAGGAGGAGGGGGAGGAGGAAGAGGAAGGCGGGGAGGAGGGGAGGGAGGAGGAAGAGGAGGAGGAAGAGGAGGAGGAAGAGGAGGAGGAAGAGGAGGAGGAAGAGGAGGAGGAAGAGGAGGAGGAAGAGGAGGAGGGCGAGGAGGAAGAGGAAGGCAGGGAGGAGGGCAGGGAGGAGGGCGAGGAGGAGGAAGAGGAGGAGGAAGAGGAGGAGGAAGAGGAGGAGGAAGAGGAGGAGGAAGAGGAGGAGGAAGAGGAGGAGGAAGAGGAGGAGGAAGAGGAGGAGGAAGAGGAGGAGGAAGAGGAGGAGGAAGAGGAGGAGGAAGAGGAGGAGGAAGAGGAGGAGGAAGAGGAGGAGGAAGAGGAGGAGGAAGAGGAGGAGGAAGAGGAGGAGGAAGAGGAGGAGGAAGANNNNNNNNNNNNNNNNNNNNNNNNNNNNNNNNN